GAUCAUGGGCUCAGAUUGAACGCUGGCGGCAGGCCUAACACAUGCAAGUCGAGCGGAUGAAGGGAGCUUGCUCCCUGAUUUAGCGGCGGACGGGUGAGUAAUGCCUAGGAAUCUGCCUGGUAGUGGGGGAUAACGUUCCGAAAAGAACGCUAAUACCGCAUACGUCCUACGGGAGAAAGCAGGGGACCUUCGGGCCUUGCGCUAUCAGAUGAGCCUAGGUCGGAUUAGCUAGUUGGUGAGG
This 241-nucleotide ribosomal RNA is filed under the name uncultured bacterium. Its description in RNAcentral is "partial 16S ribosomal RNA". It matches the Rfam family "Bacterial small subunit ribosomal RNA", at positions 15 to 257 of the family's 1533-position model. The record is from RNAcentral.